Lotus japonicus is the source of this 2757-nucleotide long non-coding RNA. RefSeq lists it as uncharacterized. The record is from RefSeq and is a predicted model, not a curated record. The transcript has 3 exons. Lineage: Eukaryota; Viridiplantae; Streptophyta; Magnoliopsida; Fabales; Fabaceae.
CAAAUCACUUACGUUUAGCUUUCCAAUAAAUAACACUGAGACUUUUCGUGACUCUUUUCCUUUCGAAACGUAUCUUACUAUCUUAUAUUCACCUCUAUGUUCCUUCGGGAUUCACCAUUUCACAAUCUCUGUGAUUCACCUUCCAUUAGGGCUCGGCGAAACGACGGGGAUGCAUCAGUUCUGAAGGCGUCGUCGUUCCAUUCACCUCUUCCGGUUUCCCUUCUUUUUGAUCAAUGCUGCCUGAAAUCCCACCCUGCAGUUCAACCGUUGUUCCUUUAACAGUGGAUGGGUUCUGGCUGAUGGAGGUGCGUUUGGUGUUGCCGACUUGAGGAUGCGAUGACAGGGUCUUUCAUGAGGGAAACCUGAAAAGGGGGCAGAUGACUUCUUCUGUGGGGGUUUUGCUUUUGUUGCUGUUAAGCUUUGAUAGAAUGAUGCUAGAGAAGAAAUCUCUCUUCCAUUUCAACCUCGAGGAGCUUAUGGAGUUAAGUGUCAUAGAUUUAACUUCUCCAUUUUCCAACUGAUUCUAUCUGUUUCUUUUUUUCCUUCAUUUUUGUUAUGGAUAUGCAGAGUAUUAGGGAGAGGGGUUUGAAGCUUUGUUUUCUUUAAUCUGUGGAGGGUUUGAAGCUUUGUUUUCUUUAAAUUACAAAGCAUAAUAGGAAAAAUACCCAAGCUAGAGAUAGUGGAGAUGAAUGAAUUAAUUAUUUGGUUAAUCUGUGGAGGGUUAAAAAUAACAUUCCCUGAGGAAAAGAGUUUGGAAUGUUAUAUGACUGAGUAAGCAAAACAGAAUUGAAAACUGAAUGAGAGAGAAAGAGAGAGGGAGAUAGCAUAUCAUAUUUUUCUUCUCAUUUCAUUACUUCACCUUUGCUGCUAUUGUUUGUUUGUUUUUUUUCCUAUUUCUUACGAGGUAACAUGGUUCACAUCAUUUUGCUGCAUCUAUUAGCCUUUAAUUAGAAAGAGUCCUGGAAGGUUAGUUCUAUUUUUUCAGGAUAGUCCUGUAUUUCUAUGAUUGGCUCCAAAAGGUACGUGAGUUAGAAACACAAUCACACAAUAACGGAAAUGAUGUUGAAAUGAGAUUCCAAACAAAAAUUCUUACCACUUCAUAGUAUACCUUUAUUGUAUUGAUAUUUAACCAUUGCAGUUUCUAUUUUGAUUGCUAAAUUUAACCACUUAAACGGGAGUUACGUUUUAGAAAUAGAGUCACUUUUAAUUAGAAAAUGAAGGUUUCACAGUUACAAAAAUGAAUGGUCAUAAUGCAUUAAGUGUGUUUAAGGGUCAUCAUUAUUUGUUAUGUAACCAGUGAGCAUUAGCUUUGCCUAUUUAGUAUUUUUAAUUGAGGUGUUAGUGUAUUGGUUAUGAAUUAAUGUGUUAAUAUGGAGUGCCUUCUCACCUGCAUGUGUAUGAUGUACGAAUGAAGUGAAAAAAGCUUUAGAGCAUAGAGUUCCUGAUAUCACAGUCACAGUGAAUCCUAAAAAGGUAUGCUCUGUGUUAAUGCAUUGUCUGAUAAUCAAUAUUUAUAUCCACCUAAGAAAUCAAAUGUAAUAUUUGAGGCAACAUUUUGCACUUUCAAUGAGAAUAUUUUUUAUAUUUUAAGAAGGGUUUCUUUGAAAUCCGCCAAGAAGAAGGCGAGAAGUUCAUGAGCCUCGUGGUAAAUCUUAUGAUCUUAUCCUGUAAUUUGUCAAGAUUUAACGAUUGGAGGUUAUCAUGUUAAAAUACCAACCAUCAAAAAGUUUUCCAUCUUUACAAAUAAGCAAUUUCUGAGUGUAGUUUGUAGACGGUUCUUGAUUGUAAUGUUGUGGUUGGAGAUCAACUUCAAAGAAAGUCAUGCUUGCCUGGAGUUAUGAUAGAGACAUGACCCAAUGCAUAAACUGAAAAGAGAUUGGUCUAUUGCAUGGCUUUUCUUAGUGCUGUUGUAGUUCUUUAGCCAGCACUAUUCUGAUAUUUUAAGAUUGAUGUUAUUUGACAAGGACCAGUGAAAAUAAAAUUUUUAUUUCUUAGUGAAGACCUUACACAAGGGGGUUUUCUUUCUACUAGGACUGGUGCCAUCAUCUUCUACUGGAACUGAUUCCAAAUGAGCCCAUAAGGAGAUACUGUGAAGCAUACACAAGGGGAACAAGAACAUGUUUUGAUGUUAUCUUUCCAUUUCUGUGUAAAUCUAUAUUACUCUCUUUCUAUGUAAGACUUGGGCUGUUAAAAUUGGUGUUCUGCUCACUUUUUCUUAAUUUGAUUUUGCAGCUUUCACUCCCGUUUCGACUGAGGGAUGUUGUGGAAGAGUAGAUGGAUUUUGCCUAUUUUGAUCUUUAAUAAACUGAUAUUGCCUGUUUUGGAUUAUGAUGUGUGAAAUACUUUCCAUUUAACUAUUUACUUUAAGUGUGGGAAUUCCUUUCCAGGUGAACCCUAUUCAGAACUACUCUGAUUGAUAACUCUGUUAUUGAGGAGGCCAUGGGUAAGUAUGGAAUUAUGAGACCGUAUCCAUGAGAUCAUGACUGUUAGGCCUCAUUUUAAGGAGGCAAACAAAUUCCUUUGGCCAUUUAAGUUCAAGGUUCCUUUGUCGCGCUUAAAGAAGAGGAACCACCAUGUUGAAGUAGGUGAUGCCGGAAUUAGAGAGAAUUAUGUCAAUGUGUUAACCAGCGCAUGAAUUAAGUAGUGGCAAUGUCCAGAGAUUAAUUAGGGUUAAUCAAUAUUUUGUAGGCUUUAGAACAAGAUCAGACGUAAGAUUUCAUUGUUUGUCCCCAAUUUUGUCAGUUUUGUUCACCGACA